UGGGGAAUAUUGCGCAAUGGGCGAAAGCCUGACGCAGCAACGCCGCGUGGGUGAAGAAGGCCUUCGGGUCGUAAAGCUCUGUCUUCUAGGACGAAGGCUCUGGAGUUAAUAGCUACUGGAGAUGACGGUACUAGAGGAGGAAGCCCCGGCUAACUACGUGCCAGCAGCCGCGGUAAAACGUAGGGGGCAAGCGUUGUCCGGAAUUACUGGGCGUAAAGCGCGUGUAGGCGGGUUAAUAAGUCGGAUGUGAAAACUCUGGGCUCAACCCAGAGAGUGCAUCCGAAACUGAUAGUCUUGAGGGCGGGAGAGGAAAGUGGAAUUCCUAGUGUAGCGGUGAAAUGCGUAGAUAUUAGGAGGAACACCAGUGGCGAAGGCGGCUUUCUGGCCCGUACCUGACGCUGAGACGCGAAAGCGUGGGGAGCAAACAGG
This 429-nucleotide ribosomal RNA is filed under the name uncultured bacterium. Its description in RNAcentral is "bacterial SSU rRNA". It matches the Rfam family "Bacterial small subunit ribosomal RNA", at positions 355 to 776 of the family's 1533-position model. The record is from RNAcentral.